UUGUGUGAAUUACAAUAUGAAAAAAAACAAAAAGAAUUAGCAGAUGAUGAUAUAUUGUUGUAUAAAGAGAAGUUAAACAAAAAUGAUGACCUGAUGAUAGAAGUACUAUUUUUAUUAUGUCUUUGUUAUAUUCAUUCGUCCAUAUAUAUAGCUAUUUCAAUUUUUUUAUUUUUAAUAUUAUCGUGUUCGGACAUUAUUUUGUUUAUUAUUAUUAUUAUUAUUAUUAUUAUUAUUAUUAUUAUUAUUAUUAUUAUUAUUAUUAUUAUUAUUAUUUUUUUUUUUUUUUUUUUUUUUUUUUUUUUUUUUUUUUUUUUUUUUUGCUUUAUAGGUUUUCGAAAACUUUCACCACAUGGUCAAAAGCAUUGAUGAUUUUUUUUAUAAAGAUGAAGACCUAAAUGUGUUUCAAAAAAAGUUUAACAAAAACAAGGAAAUGUACAACGCACUUGUGGAAAAAGUUGCUACACAAAACAAAAAAAUUGAAUGGAAAAAAGAUGAUCUUUUGUCUAUGACCGACGAGCAAAGAGAAGAAUUAAAAAUGCACCAAGAAUAUAUUAAGCAUCAAAUUUUAGAACUUAAUAAAAAGAUAGAAUGGGAUAAGUUAGAAGCAGAAAGGAAAAAAAAAGAAUUAGAAGAAGAAGAGGAAAGGGAAAGAAAAAAAAAAGAAUUAGAAGAAGAAGAGGAAAGGGAAAGAAAAAAAAAAGAAUUAGAAGAAGAAAAGGAAAGGGAAAGGCAAAAAAAAGUAUUAGAAGAAGAGGAGAAAGAAAAACAAAAAAAAGCAUUAGAAGCAGAAGAGGAGAAAAGAAGACUAAAAAAAAUAUUAGAAGAAGAAGAAGAGGAAAGAGAGAGGCAAAGACAAGAACUGGAAGAACAAGCAAAUUGUAUAAAUUAUGAGGAAAAAAAAAAUAUACUAGCUGAAAAAGUUGAACAAAUACAAAAGCUUAUACAAGAAAAAAAUAGUGAUGUACUAACCUUUGAAGAUUGUAUUGACAUUAUUUACAAAGUGAAUCUUCCAUUGACUAAUAGUAAAAAAGAAGAGCUAAGAAGUAUGAAAAACAUAAAAAAAGAAGAACUGAUAAAAUUUAUAAAAGGUUUAGUAGUAAUUAAACAGGAUGUUUUAGAAGACAUGAUAUCCUUUUUCCAAAUAUGGGAUGUACAGAAAAAAGGAUACAUUCAUAAAAACUUAUUCUUGUCUAUAUUAAAACAAUUUGGAGAUGGUUUAAAUGAAGAAGAGGAGAAUUACUUACGAGCAGAAUUAGACCAAUCAGCAGAUCCAUAUGUAGAAUAUGCAAAACUACUGAACAAGUGGAUAAGUGAAGAGGAAAAGUAACUUCUUUUCUUUUUUUUGCCUUUUUUUGCCUUUUUUUGCUUUUUUUUUUUUUUUUUUAACUUUAUUAUAAUGUUAAAAAAAAAAAAAAUUAAAUUGUAUAAAUGUACAUAAAGUCCAAACUAAUAACAUUAUUAUUAUUUUUAUUAAAAAGAGGUGUGUACGAACAUUAACGGUAAAAGUGAGCUUCAAAAAAAAAAACGAAAAAAAUAAGUAUAUAACAAAAAUAAGGCUGUUUAAUUCAUUAAAAACAAACGUUUUUUAUUUAUUUAUUUCAAACUAUUUUUUUUUUAUAAUAUUAAUCAUUGUAUAUUAAUUAUUUUUGACCUUUUUUUUUUUUUUUUUAAAUUGUUUUGUAUAAGUUUAUCUAUAUAUAUGUGUAUAUCACAUAAUGGUAUAAAUGGAAAGUACUAUUUUAUUCUACAAAACAUACCUGUAAUUAAUUUUCAGUUAAAUUUUAAUACUUUUGUCUUUCUUUGUUUUAGUUUGCCUUAUUUUAUUUAUUUCCGCGUUUAUUAUUGAUGCGACAUUGAAGUGUAAAACUAUUUGGGUUUUAUUUACUUUUUUUUUAUUUCGUUUGCUUUGUCUAUUUUUUUUUAUUUUGUUUUGUUUGUUUGUUUGUUUGUUUUUUUGUUUGUUUUUUUGUUGUUUUUUUAUUUUUUUGUUUUAUUUAUUUUGUUUUCUUUUUUGUUUUAUCCGUUUUGUUUUCUAUAUUUAUUUAUUUUGAUCGUUUAUCCAUUAUACUUACGUACUACAUACGUACAGUUUAAAAAUAAAACUUUCAUACCGCGCGUUGAAAAAAAAAAA
Molecule: long non-coding RNA, 2131 nt
Organism: Piliocolobus tephrosceles (Ugandan red Colobus)
Lineage: Eukaryota; Metazoa; Chordata; Mammalia; Primates; Cercopithecidae
Source: Ensembl